This 974-nucleotide long non-coding RNA is filed under the name Chinchilla lanigera (long-tailed chinchilla). RNAcentral's name for it is "lncRNA (ENSCLAG00000026749.1)". Lineage: Eukaryota; Metazoa; Chordata; Mammalia; Rodentia; Chinchillidae. The record is from RNAcentral.
UUAUUCUUGUUUGUGUUCUCGGCACCUCACAAGGAUUUGAACAAAUAGAUAUUUGUUGAAUGGGAUAUAAUUUUGGAUUAUCUGCCGAUAGGGAUUUUCUGGACCAUUGCUCCCAACUGUCAGUGUGCCUAACCCUGAACUUACCCGGAGCUGACCUACUGUUACAUCAGAGUCUAGGCAAGACCGAAAUCUUACUACUGCAGGCAUAUCCAGGCAAACGCUCCACUGGCACCUUAAUAGCAUAUGGCAGCAUCUCUCCUAGAAUAAGGUAGGUUGUUCCUAGAGGACAGUUCAGUGCUUUAAGUUGGCACCGACAGAAAAUACUAGAAGCUUAAUGUAGCCUUUAAAGAAAUUACAUCCUGGGCUGGGGAUUUAGCUCAGCAGCACAGCGCCUGCCUGGCAAGCACAAGGUCAUGAGUUCGAUUCCUGGUACUGGAGGAGUGGGGGGGGGUGGGCAAAAAAAAAAACAAAAACAAAAACAAGAAGUUAAAUCCCUUCUAGCCUGAGGGAAAACAGCUCUUUCACCUAAAGCUGAAUUUCAGCUUUAAGUCCUGCGGGUGAGUGACGCUAGUGAGCUGGAGGCUGAAAACCAAGAGGCUGUGCCUGGGGACAGGUUGCACAGUCACUGGCUGCAGUAGAGUUUUGUUUUUGUCUUUGCCCUUUGCCCCAUCUCCUCAUCUUACCUUCCUGGUUCUCAUUUUAUUUGUAAACUCUCCCCAAAACCUGCCCCAGUAUCUCUGCAUCCCUUCAGCCCCUUCUAGGUGGUCCUUUGCGACCUAGGGAGUAUAAGGUGCACUUUUUUCCUUAAUGGUGAGGUAAAUUAGGGUGAACCCGAGAGUGCUAUGGUCCUAAAGCCCAGGAAUGGACAAGUUUAGUACCUCAGUGCACAGUUUGAUGACCCCACAAUUUAUAUCCAAGCUGAGGCAUUUCUAAAAGUGAAGGAGGCUCUAAAAUAACUAAUAGGUACAAUAACC